Molecule: long non-coding RNA, 1424 nt
Organism: Zea mays
Lineage: Eukaryota; Viridiplantae; Streptophyta; Magnoliopsida; Poales; Poaceae
Exons: 2
Source: RefSeq, marked validated
UUCCUGGCAUCUCCCUGUCUUCUUGCUCCCUCUACCGAGCUCCAUCCAGGAUAGCUCUUCCACUGCUCCCUCACGCUAGCAGCAGACCACCGGCGCCCUUCUUCCACCUCCGGUCCGUAGGGACCUCCUCUGGUCCGAACGCAAGCAGGUGCCCUUCCUCCACUGCGCCCCUCCUCCCAUCGGCACAGGAGCUUCCCAUGGCCGGCGCACGCCCCUGCUCGUGCCUUCACGGCCGUCGGGGCAUCGGCUCCGAGCUCCCUCCCUGCUCCAUGGCCGCUGGCCCCUCGCCCCUGCUCUUCCCCCUUGGUCGCGCGCAGGAGCUCCCUAGGCCGACCUCGGCCAGGUCCAUGUCCAUGGCGUCGCCUCCCUCUGCCCUCCCUGUGCUGUGCGCUCUACUCGCCAGGGCCGGAGUUCUCCAUGGUCGAGCUCCUUGUCCUCCAGGCCACUGGGUUGCAGGAGGCCGCACCCUUCUUCUCCAAGACCGGCGCUUGUUUUCCCCCUGCGUCUUCUUCCAUGCACACCUGCAGGCCGCCGGACCUUGCUCCAUCUGGAUUUCGCGCCAUAUGCUCCUUCACCAAUGCCAUGGAGAGAUCUGUCAACAGAGCAAUGCUAGGCCUCGCCUUGGACCUUGGGUUCGCACCAGCGAGCUCACCUGUAGGUUCAGCCAUGGCUCCUGCAAUGUCUAGUUCCUCCCUCGCCUAGCACCACAUCGGCUCGCCUCACCUCAGCCCGACUGGGCGCCGACACCCAGCGAGCUCCUUCGCAAGCAGACUAUGGCCUAGGAUGCUGAGCUCGCCUAGAUCACUUGCUCCUGUGUUUCCCCUCAUGGCGUGCCCUGCUUAGUCCAGCAUCCAAUCCUCUCUGCUGUGGUCGAGCUCACCUUCACUAGCUCGCGACCACUAUCCCUGUGCCGCUGGAUGCCAUUCCUCUCUGUUCUGCCCUUGCCAUCCGCGCCCCAGUGUCUGGACUGCGCUCGCCGAGCUCCUCCUCACGUGCUCCUCCACCGGUCCGUGCCCCUGCACUUGCAGCAGCGGCCGUGGAUCCCCUCUGCGUCACGCCCUCGGCGUGCUCGAUGUAAUGCCAAAGCAGCAGCAGUGACGACCUUCGUUGUGUCACGCUCGCCAAGUCGGGCCUCACAUCGUCGAUCUGCGCAGCGUCUGCGCAUCAUCGUCGAAACACGCGCCCUUGUCGACGUCACGCCUCGCGCAUCGCUCGUCGGCAAAGAGCCCAAACUAAUGGCAUGCAUGCGCGACACGAGUCGGCCAGGUUGUUCGCCUUGAAUGAUUCACGAUUUGUUUUAUUUACGUAUUCGGUCGAUGAUGUGCCUGCGUGUUUAUAUGUGUGUGAAAAUAUAAUUGUAUGAAUGAAAGCGUGUAGAGAAGAAAAUGAAAUAGAAAAGAACUCGGGUAUUUUUAUUUUGAUAG